This 539-nucleotide ribosomal RNA is filed under the name Atergatis integerrimus. RNAcentral's name for it is "partial large subunit ribosomal RNA". It matches the Rfam family "Bacterial large subunit ribosomal RNA", at positions 1837 to 2620 of the family's 2925-position model. Lineage: Eukaryota; Metazoa; Arthropoda; Malacostraca; Decapoda; Xanthidae. The record is from RNAcentral.
GUCGAAGAGAAGGGUCUGGCCUGCUCACUGAUAAAUUAUUUAAAGAGCCUGCGGUAUAUCUGACAGUGCAAAGGUAGCAUAAUCAUUAGGGAUUUAAUUGGAACCUGGUAUGAAGGGUUGGACAAAGGAAAGACUGUCUAUAUAAUAUGAACUGAAAUUUACUUUUAAGUGAAAAGGCUUAAAUAAAUCAAAGGGACGAUAAGACCCUAUAAAGCUUUAUAAAUAAUUUAAAUUUAGUUGAUUUAAUGAUUAAAGGUUAAAUUUACUUGUUUUAUUUUGUUGGGGUGAUGUGAGUAAAAGUUGUUUUAAACUGCUUAAAAAAAAUUCUAUUAUUAAAGAAUUAAUAAAAUGGAUGAUCCUUUGUAAAGAUUAAAAGACUAAAUUACUUUAGGGAUAACAGCGUUAUUUCUUUUGAGAGUUCAUAUCGAAAAAGAAGAUUGCGACCUCGACGUUGAAUUAAAAUAUCUAUAUAAUGAAGCCGUUAUAAAAGAGGGUCUGUUCGACCUUUAAAUUUUUACAUGAUCUGAUCUCAGACCGGA